RNAcentral lists this ribosomal RNA (488 nucleotides) under uncultured bacterium. Its description in RNAcentral is "bacterial SSU rRNA". It matches the Rfam family "Bacterial small subunit ribosomal RNA", at positions 17 to 507 of the family's 1533-position model. The record is from RNAcentral.
UCCUGGCUCAGAGUGAACGCUGGCGGCGUGCUUAACACAUGCAAGUCGAACGGAUUAAAAGAGCUUGCUUUUUGAUUAGUGGCGCACGGGUGAGUAAUAUAUAGCUAACCUGCCCUUUAGUGGGGACAACAGUUGGAAACGACUGCUAAUACCCUAUACUCCUUCUUACUAUAAGGUAAGUCGGGAAAGAUUUAUCGCUAAAGGAUGGGGCUUUAUUGUAUCAGCUAGUUGGUGAGGUAAUGGCUCACCAAGGCUAUGACGCAUACCUGGUCUGAGAGGAUGAUCAGGCACACUGGAACUGAGACACGGUCCAGACUCCUACGGGAGGCAGCAGUAGGGAAUAUUGGACAAUGGGGGGAACCCUGAUCCAGCCAUGCCGCGUGAGGGAAGAAGGUCCUCUGGAUUGUAAACCUCUUUUGGCAGGAAACAAACCUGCGCUAUACGCGCAGCUGAGGGUACCUGCAGAAUAAGCACCGGCUAACUCCGUG